UAAGUUGUUGUCACUCUUGCAACUUGUGCUCUGUCUCAAGUUAUUUUUGCUGCAUCACAUGGGUCCUGCUGGUUCAGGUCCCCACAAGUGGUGCCCUGUGUGAGGAACCACUGAGUCUCUUCCCAUUCAUCAGCGAGGCAAACUGCACCCUGCUCGUUCAUCAGGUGUCGCUGCCAGCUCGUCCAGUGGAAGUGAUAUUCAUCUAGACUCAUAAUCAUCCCAAGCUGCGGGACUCCCCUGGAUGCCUCAGCUCUAUGCCUAGCCUCUGCCCAGGAAUUUUUCCUGGAUGACGGGGGCUGGAGGAUCCAGGUGAAGGCACCUGCCGUGGAUGAACAUCGGGCGCAUCUAGGUAAAGGUGACUUUGAAAUAGAGACUUUCCCUGUGCUGGGUCUGCGGUGGUUUCCUGCAUGGCAUGUCAAACCAUACCAUGAACCCAGAAAAUCAGCUUCCACACCCAAUUCCAUAGAUGGAGAAGAUGAGCCUGGCUAACAACAGAAAUCAUCACACACAGCCGCUCGUCUCUACAGUGCAUGUACAGGGAGUAACCUGGGGUGGCCUCAAACAAUUAGAUCAAAAGGCCACCCAAAUGUUGUGUAGCACCAGCACUCCCACUACUCCUGAAAAUAGAUCUCUUGCUUAUCUCACAAUUGUGUCCCAUAAUUCCUCUGAACCCUUUCCUGUUGAUCAUUGCCAUAUUAACUCUAAGUGGUAUCCUUAUUCAGUCAAUGUAGUUUGAAACCCAUGUAGAGCCUCAGUUCCUCGAGAAACUACUUUAUUAUAUAAUUAUACUCUUUUUGGCUGGGGGCCUCAGAGCAAUCUUGCCAGUCAUGGUGAAUAUAUUAACUUCUCCCAGUCCAUCAAUAGUAGCAUUGCUUGGACUAAUGGGAGACAUUCAGGACCUAUUCUCCAUGUGCAAGCCUCAUCAGUUAAUGUUUCCAGCCCCUGGCAUUAUUGCCUUUGGAGGCUUGGUCUCCCUUUCUUCCCUCAAAAUGUGUCUCAUGGUAAUUAUACAAAAAUGAAUAACAGCUUUAGUAUAUCAUUAUCUACAAAUAAUACUGAUUCAGUUAUGAUACAUACCACACACCCCUUUAUGUUUCUCAUAGCUUCUUCUGCCAAUGUACCUUAUUCUCAUAAUCUAUUUAAUAUUACAGUUCCCAACUCUAUGGCUUCUUUUGCUUCUUGUAUGUCAAAUAGCAAUGUUACCACUUAUAAUUUUGCUCAUAUCUUCGUCCUGCGCAGACAGGCCCAAGUUUGGGUGCUUGUUAAUCUUACCAGCCCCCGGGAAAGCCCAUCUGGUCUUUCUCAACUUAAUCAUGCUCCUGUUCAACUCUGAGUUAAAAGAUCCUCGGAAUGUUAAUAGCUUUUAUUAUUUCAGCUGUUAUCAUUGCCGCUACUGCUGCCAUUGCAGUAGCAGCCCUAGCCGAAUCUGUACAAACUGCUCAUAUAGAUAAUCAAGUCAUGACAAAUUUCACUGAAGAUAUGCUAUCUCAAACGCACAUUGAUAAUAAAAUUCUUACCUGUUUAGAUGCCCUUGAAACUGCUGUCUUAUGGAAUGAAGAACAUCAACAAGCUAUAGCCACUCAGCUUGGCUUACAAUGUGAUUGGAAUUAUACAAAAAUUUGUGUUACUCCUUUAGCAUGGAAUGAAUCCUUAAAUAAUUGGACACAAAUUAAAGCUCAUCUGUUAGGCAAUUCCAUGACUAAUGUGAAUUCAGAAAUCUCUACCCUUCAAUGUAAUCUUAAACAACUCACCCAAAUAUAAUUGCUUACACAACAAAUAUUCAAAAUAUUAAAUGACAAUUUAAAAUGGUUAAAAUUGGUUUCAUGGCCUCAACUUGCAUAUUUCAAUUUUAACCGGUCUAAGUUUAAUCUUCUGUCUUAUUCUUAUUUGCUCUUGCAGACUCACCAUUAAACUCUUCCAAAGAAUGCUUCAUGCAGAAGCCAAGCUCGUUGCCUUCACCACUGCUGCAGCCUUUCCCAACCGCCCUUUGCCCCUCACUUCCAUAAAUAAUAAAAAGAGGGGAAAUAUAGGAGUGCUAUGGAUAAAAGAGCUAUAACAUGUGCAGCUUCUUGUACCUGGUUUCUCCCACAAAUGAGAGAAAUGUCACAUCACCUGAUUCCCAUCACAAAUGAUGGGAACAUCUUGUGUUUGUCCUUGAUUCCUAUUGCAAAUGAUGGGAACAUCUUGCAGUUUGUUCUUGAUUCCUGUCGCAAAUGAUGUGAACAUCCUGCCUUGCUACAAUCCAGCACUCUGCACAUUUCAUUCCCAAGGCCAGGCUUAUCUGUUAUCAGCAUGCCUGCCAAUUUUUGUUUCUUAAAGUUCAGCAAAUCCUGCCUCCCUUCUUGCCUCCCUUCCUGCCUUCCCAAUCGGCCUUGAAUUCCAGCAUGACUCCCUAACCCGGAAAUCUCAAUAAAAGCCAAGAUGAGCAUUGCUCAGGAGGACACUCCUCUUGAGUUGUUUCCUCUUGCAACUUGUGCUCUCUCUCAAGUUAUUUUUGCUGCAUCACUGUGGGUCCUGGCAGUUUGGGUCCCCACAAUUUGUAAUGUUGUCUUCAGAAAUUUAUAAAAUAUAAGUACUGAUUUGAUUGGUCUUUAAAACCUGUAUAAUUGUGAGACUAUUUAACUAAUGUGGAUGUGAUUUGUCACCUAGUAUUAAGUUCUUAGUCUGAUUUUUGUGUUAAAAAAUAGGAAAGAGGGAAACUGCAGUUUUCAUUACGAACUUCUUGAUUGGUAAGCUCUCCAAACGAUGAGUUAUAGUAAACUCUGAUUAUGCCUCUGGAUAGUGGAUUUCAAACAUUUCUCUCAGGCUUUAAUUUGCCAAAGCCAUGCACAUAUGUAAAAAAAAAACUAGAUUAUUUUAGGGAAGUUGUAAGUGUAGAAUGAUUGUUUAUGUCAUUUCAUGAGCAGUUAUGCUUUUAAUGCUUAAAAGAAGGCUAGCAUUGUUUGCACAAAAAAUUGGUGAUUCCCUCCCCAAAAUACUAAUGAAAUUACUUCUGUUGAGUAAACUUUUUAUGUCAUCUUAUAAUAAAAGCUGAAAAAAUC
Molecule: long non-coding RNA, 3041 nt
Organism: Choloepus didactylus (southern two-toed sloth)
Lineage: Eukaryota; Metazoa; Chordata; Mammalia; Pilosa; Megalonychidae
Exons: 3
Source: RefSeq, a predicted model, not a curated record